RNAcentral lists this ribosomal RNA (324 nucleotides) under Triticum aestivum (bread wheat). Its description in RNAcentral is "partial small subunit ribosomal RNA". The record is from RNAcentral. Lineage: Eukaryota; Viridiplantae; Streptophyta; Magnoliopsida; Poales; Poaceae.
AUGGUGGGGCGUGCCCGGCCUGGAGGCCGUCCUCGAGUACAUCGAGGGCGGCAACACGCCGAGGCUGGAGUACCCCGCUCCCCCGUCCUUCUCUCGCCGGCGUGGGAGCUCGUGGACGCCGAGGCGCAUGGACCCGGGGGCGUCCUCCUCCUCGUCCGGCCGCUCGUCCGGCUCUCCCUGCCUCCGCCCCGUCAAGCCGGAGCCCCAGGACACGCCUGUCAGCGCGCGCACCCGCAGCUCCGGCGUCCGCAUCGACGACUCCGCCCCCGCCUCUGGCCGCCUCGUCCUCGUCAGGCCGAAGCCAGAGCCCGGCCUCCCCGCUGA